Molecule: long non-coding RNA, 271 nt
Filed under: Carica papaya (papaya)
Lineage: Eukaryota; Viridiplantae; Streptophyta; Magnoliopsida; Brassicales; Caricaceae
Description: long non-coding RNA (CPAP_LNC005827)
Source: RNAcentral
AAAGAUCAACCACUUACCCGAAAAACGCCGGCAAAGUCUGGUUGAGCUGCCUUGGAGAAUUUCACAAAACGCCUCUGAUGAAGCCCUUCUCGUUUCCCAUUCUGUGUAAUUUUUUCACCGUCGUGAUCAUCGUGUCCUUCUCUAUAGGUUGACAAGAGCAAAAUACCCAACCGCAACAUGAGCUGGAGGAGCCACCGCAUCGGAGAGCCUUGCCGCUGGUGAGUUUCGAUUUUUUGUAUUUUUUCGGCCAACCGAUGGCCUUUAGCAUGUU